This 402-nucleotide ribosomal RNA is filed under the name uncultured Eubacteriales bacterium. RNAcentral describes it as "uncultured Clostridiales bacterium partial 16S ribosomal RNA". It matches the Rfam family "Bacterial small subunit ribosomal RNA", at positions 355 to 774 of the family's 1533-position model. The record is from RNAcentral. Lineage: Bacteria; Bacillati; Bacillota; Clostridia; Eubacteriales.
UGGGGAAUAUUGCGCAAUGGGGGAAACCCUGACGCAGCAACGCCGCGUGAAUGAAGAAGGCCUUAGGGUUGUAAAGUUCUGUCUUCUGGGAAGAUAAUGACGGUACCAGAGGAGGAAGCCACGGCUAACUACGUGCCAGCAGCCGCGGUAAUACGUAGGUGGCAAGCGUUGUCCGGAUUUACUGGGCGUAAAGGAUGCGUAGGCGGAUAUUUAAGUCAGAUGUGAAAUACCCGAGCUCAACUUGGGUGCUGCAUUUGAAACUGGAUAUCUAGAGUGUCGGAGAGGAAAGCGGAAUUCCUAGUGUAGCGGUGAAAUGCGUAGAGAUUAGGAAGAACACCAGUGGCGAAGGCGGCUUUCUGGACGAUAACUGACGCUGAGGCAUGAAAGUGUGGGGAGCAAACA